GCGUGGCUUCUACAGAGCUACCCACAAGGAUGUUGAUGGUAACAUCAGAAAUGCGGCUGCGACCCAGUUCCAGCCCACCGACGCCCGCAAAGCCUUCCCUUGCUUCGACGAGCCCGCACUGAAGGCAACCUUUGAAAUUCACCUCGCAAGGGAAUCUUGGAUGACGACCCUCUCCAACAUGCCCAUUGCCGAAACGGUACCUGUUGAAGGACAGGAGGGAUGGAUGUGGGAUCGUUACGAGAAGAGUGUCCCUAUGUCCACUUACCUGGUUGCCUUCGUUGUGUCCGACUACGUUCAUAUCAACUCGACCGAGAAUGACCGUGUAGAUU
Penaeus vannamei (Pacific white shrimp) is the source of this 329-nucleotide non-coding RNA. NCBI's taxonomy places the organism in Eukaryota, Metazoa, Arthropoda, Malacostraca, Decapoda, Penaeidae. The record is from RefSeq and is a predicted model, not a curated record.